This 261-nucleotide ribosomal RNA is filed under the name uncultured prokaryote. RNAcentral's name for it is "partial 16S ribosomal RNA". It matches the Rfam family "Bacterial small subunit ribosomal RNA", at positions 524 to 784 of the family's 1533-position model. The record is from RNAcentral.
UACGUAGGUGGCAAGCGUUAUCCGGAAUUAUUGGGCGUAAAGAGCGCGCAGGUGGUUGAUUAAGUCUGAUGUGAAAGCCCACGGCUUAACCCUGGAAUUGCAUUUGAAACUGAUUUACUUGAGUGCAGGAGAGGAGAGCGGAAUUCCUAGUGUAGCGGUGAAAUGCGUAGAGAUAUGGAGGAACACCAGUGGCGAAGGCGGCCUCCUGGACCAUUCCUGACACUCAGACGCGAAAGCUAGGGUAGCAAACGGGAUUAGAUA